GCUUCCGUAGUUCAAUUGGUUAAGAACGGCCGCCCGGUCUGCGGUUGAUCCGGGUUCGAAUCCCGCCGGAAGCG
Leguminivora glycinivorella is the source of this 74-nucleotide non-coding RNA. The record is from the annotation of a RefSeq genome assembly. Lineage: Eukaryota; Metazoa; Arthropoda; Insecta; Lepidoptera; Tortricidae.